AUGCAUGAGGGAUUGUAGCGGCAUCCUUUUUUGUGGCGCUGUGCAAAGCAAAAGCGGAACAAAAAAGAUACAGCGAAAAGCCCGACCCGAA
Molecule: small RNA, 91 nt
Filed under: Flavobacterium sp. 11
Lineage: Bacteria; Pseudomonadati; Bacteroidota; Flavobacteriia; Flavobacteriales; Flavobacteriaceae
Also listed under: 1 other name
Description: Flavo-1 RNA
Rfam family: Flavo-1 RNA
Source: RNAcentral